Hortaea werneckii EXF-2000 is the source of this 134-nucleotide non-coding RNA. The record is from Rfam. Lineage: Eukaryota; Fungi; Ascomycota; Dothideomycetes; Mycosphaerellales; Teratosphaeriaceae.
GUCUUGCUGGCGCAAUGGUAGCGCGCCAGACUUCUAUAAUGAAAUCUGGAGGUUGUACGUGAUCUCCACCAUCCUGCGCUUACCAGCACUUGUGCUAACAACUACAAAGGCGGGUUCGAGUCCCGCGUGAGAUG